Molecule: long non-coding RNA, 456 nt
Organism: Chiroxiphia lanceolata (lance-tailed manakin)
Lineage: Eukaryota; Metazoa; Chordata; Aves; Passeriformes; Pipridae
Exons: 3
Source: RefSeq, a predicted model, not a curated record
ACUUAGUAAUGAAGACAAUUUCUGCCCUGAGAAUCUGGAUGUUGACUUGAUCAAACUUAAUGAUGGAAAACACCUGAGACCAAUGAGUCCUGAACAAAAACCCCUGUGUCCUCCAGCUGUGGGUUCUGCCAAGGACUCGUAGAGCUGAGGAUGGACAUGGAACGAUGCCUUAUGAAACAAGUUUAAAGCAUUCUAGUAUGAGAUCUACCUCGUUUAAUUUUUCCUUGCAUCGCCUUUGGCUGUCCUCUGAAUUCUCUUCUCUUUGAGAUCUGUCCAUCUCUGAGUGCAGUGGUUACAACUGGACCCUGUCUCCCAGCUAAAGACUCCCCAGUGAAAACGGAGCAGAAAAAUGACUUCCCUGACAUACAGAUGACACUGCCAAGCCAGGCCCACUUAAGGUGCUUUGUUUGCAGCCAGGCCUUUGACUCCUGAUAAUUCCACCAUCACUGCCAUCCU